AGCCUGAUGCAGCCAUGCCGCGUGUAUGAAGAAGGCCUUCGGGUUGUAAAGUACUUUCAGUCGUGAGGAAGGCGGUGUCGUUAAUAGCGGCGUUGUUUGACGUUAGCGACAGAAGAAGCACCGGCUAACUCCGUGCCAGCAGCCGCGGUAAUACGGAGGGUGCGAGCGUUAAUCGGAAUUACUGGGCGUAAAGCGCAUGCAGGUGGUUUGUUAAGUCAGAUGUGAAAGCCCGGGGCUCAACCUCGGAAUAGCAUUUGAAACUGGCAGACUAGAGUACUGUAGAGGGGGGUAGAAUUUCAGGUGUAGCGGUGAAAUGCGUAGAGAUCUGAAGGAAUACCGGUGGCGAAGGCGGCCCCCUGGACAGAUACUGACACUCAGAUGCGAAAGCGUGGGGAGCAAACAGGAUUAGAUACCCUGGUAGUCCACGCCGUAAACGAUGUCUACUUGGAGGUUGUGGCCUUGAGCCGUGGCUUUCGGAGCUAACGCGUUAAGUAGACCGCCUGGG
Molecule: ribosomal RNA, 505 nt
Filed under: Vibrio sp.
Lineage: Bacteria; Pseudomonadati; Pseudomonadota; Gammaproteobacteria; Vibrionales; Vibrionaceae
Description: bacterial SSU rRNA
Rfam family: Bacterial small subunit ribosomal RNA
Source: RNAcentral